Molecule: unclassified non-coding RNA, 939 nt
Filed under: Hevea brasiliensis (rubber tree)
Lineage: Eukaryota; Viridiplantae; Streptophyta; Magnoliopsida; Malpighiales; Euphorbiaceae
Source: RNAcentral
UCUCUCUCUCUCUCUCUACAUAUGCUCUAUUCCUCAAGUUCAAAUUUGCAAAUUAGUUUUAUAAUGUGUAUCGGUUAGAUUCUCUAUUAGGUUAGUUUUGAGUAUUUUUGGGUUAUUGAGCAAUACAGCGUAUGAAAUUUACAGCUACAGGGAAGCAACUGUGCAAUUUGGAAUUCUUUUUACUCCAUUUGAAGCUGCUUUGUGAUACAAAAUCAAUCUGGGGAACUGCUUCUGUAUAAAAUCUUAAUUCUUGUGCUUAAUUGGCUAGCUUCUGGAUUCUAAUGUUGAUCUCUAUGGGGAUCCGAGAGAUCCUGAAUGGUUUUUCUGAUAGUUGUUUGAUUGAUUUUAUGGACUGAUAAUGUUUCUUAAGGACCUAAAAUUAAGACCUUUGUACUAGAUUAUCAAUACCAAUGCGAAAACAAUUGCUUCAUGUAUAGUAAAUGCAUUCAUGAGGUGGGGUUCUUGCUGUUUACUUAUGGAGCCAGACUGUACUUAAGCUUGUAAUUCCAAUAACUCUUUUGUGGUCUUGGCAGCAAUGCAAGUAACUCUUUUGAUUCCAUUGACAUCUUUGUGCCUUAUCAGAACAUCACUGCAGAUUACAGUAGGAAAAGUUUUCAUUCAUGGUUAUGAAUAUACUUUUGAAAUCCAAUUCAAUUUGUUUGGGUGUUUACUUAAUCUACUUAAUUAAUGAUGCUUUUGGUUGUUUUUGGACAUUAUCAUUUAAAUCAUGCAUUUCAUCAUCACAUGAUAUAAAAUUUUCAGUCUUAAUUUCAUUGCAGUAUGUUUGUCCUGAACUCAGUUGUCAUCCCAACAAUACAAUGGAUACCACCUGAUCAAUAUUCAGAUAAUAGUUCUCAAGAACCAGGCACUUUUGGCAAUAUUUUAAAACUUUAGUCUUUUUUACGUGUUGGACUUAUACAGCUCUUUUAUGUAAGUAUG